RNAcentral lists this ribosomal RNA (324 nucleotides) under Triticum aestivum (bread wheat). Its description in RNAcentral is "partial small subunit ribosomal RNA". The record is from RNAcentral. Lineage: Eukaryota; Viridiplantae; Streptophyta; Magnoliopsida; Poales; Poaceae.
AAUGGUGAGCGCAAGGUACACUGGAUUGCUUGGAAUAAGAUGUGUGCAGCAAAGCGUGCGGGUGGCAUGGGGUUCAGAGAUCCGGAAGCGUUCAACCAGGCCCUUCUGGCAAAACAAGCCUGGAGGGUGUUACAGGUGCCUUCUUCACUUUGUGCAAGGGUUUUGAAGGCUCGUUACUUUAGCGAUGGGGGAAUUCUCAAUGCUUCCUGUCCGGCGGGAGGAUCGUACAAGUUCAGAAGCAUUAUCCAUGGGCAUGACCUGCUGCGAGCCGGGCUGGUGUGGAGGAUAGGGGAUGGCAUGAAGGUCAACAUACACCAUGAUUAG